This is a long non-coding RNA of Pteropus alecto (black flying fox), 819 nucleotides long. RefSeq lists it as uncharacterized. The record is from RefSeq and is a predicted model, not a curated record. The transcript has 2 exons. Lineage: Eukaryota; Metazoa; Chordata; Mammalia; Chiroptera; Pteropodidae.
CACCUGCCGGCCGCUCCCCCCCCGCUCCAGCUGGCAUCAGAGGAGCAGGCACAACAGGCUGCCAUGCUCACGGGCCAUGCCCCUGAGGUUGACCCGAGCAGCUAUGCCAGGGGACCACGGGCACCCUGCCCCGUCCCUGGGGAUGACUUUUCCUUGGUUUUCCUUGAACAAACGACAAUGUCUCUGACCUCUUUACAGGUAAGCUAGGGGCACUCUGGGGAGAGGGGAUGAAGCCACCAAUCUCACAUGGCCUUUCAAGAUAAGUAAAUGAGAUGCUGUCUGGACAGACCCAACAAGGCUGUGCACAGAAUGUGUCUGUUCCUGCCGCCCUCCCCUGGCCUGGGGGAGGGGGGGCGGUCGGGAGGGGGACAGCAGGUUAAACCCCUUGACUCCAGGUUCCUCUCUGUCAGCGUCACCGUCAAUGCCGGACACACUCCUAAACCAUCACGCCGAGACCCCAGGGACACAGCUGCUGGCAGGGGAAGCGUGGAGAGGCCAAAGACAGAAAGGACAGGGUUCAGGGGUCACCCUGCCGGGCCCCCACCUCAGGGAAGGCCCACGUGAAGCGCCUCAUGCAAAGCGGGCUCCCCCGCUUGUGAGGAAGCCAGGAGGAAAGCUCUGGAACACAGUUUCUCCCAGAAACUUGGGACUCCCGUGUACCCCACAAAGGAGGAUCAGCAACUCUUACACCUGAUGACUUCCUUCUCCUGACAGUGACGGGCCCCCUGCUUUAGGGGAGAAGUGGAGGGACCCUUAUUCCUUUCUCCAAGGCUUGAUGUAGGCCCGGGGCAGAAAAUAAAAAAUGUUUAAAAUGGAAAA